RNAcentral lists this ribosomal RNA (253 nucleotides) under uncultured bacterium. Its description in RNAcentral is "partial 16S ribosomal RNA". It matches the Rfam family "Bacterial small subunit ribosomal RNA", at positions 524 to 776 of the family's 1533-position model. The record is from RNAcentral.
UCCGGAGGGGGCUAUCGUUGUUCGGAAUUACUGGGCGUAAAGCGCACGUAGGCGGACUGGAAAGUCAGGGGUGAAAUCCCGGGGCUCAACCCCGGAACUGCCUUUGAAACUCCCGGUCUUGAGGUCGAGAGAGGUGAGUGGAAUUCCGAGUGUAGAGGUGAAAUUCGUAGAUAUUCGGAGGAACACCAGUGGCGAAGGCGGCUCACUGGCUCGAUACUGACGCUGAGGUGCGAAAGCGUGGGGAGAAAACAGG